AUUGAACGCUGGCGGCAGGCCUAACACAUGCAAGUCGAGCGGAGCGGCGGACGGGUGAGUGAUGCCUAGGAGUCUACCUUGUAGUGGGGGAUAACGUCCGGAAACGGGCGCUAAUCCCGCAUCCUAUCAGCUGAGCCUAAGUCGGAUUAGCUAGUUGGUGGGGUAAAGGCCUACCAAGGCGACGAUCCGUAACUGGUAUGAGAGGAUGAUCAGUCACACUGGAACUGAGACACGGUCCAGACUCCUACGGGAGGCAGCAGUGGGGAAUAUUGGACAAUGGGCGAAAGCCUGAUCCAGCCAUGCCGCGUGUGUGAAGAAGGUCUGCGGAUUGUAAAGCACUUUAAGUUGGGAGGCGUUACCAACAGAAUAAGCACCGGCUAACUACGUGCCAGCAGCCGCGGUAAUUC
This 407-nucleotide ribosomal RNA is filed under the name uncultured bacterium. Its description in RNAcentral is "partial 16S ribosomal RNA". It matches the Rfam family "Bacterial small subunit ribosomal RNA", at positions 30 to 526 of the family's 1533-position model. The record is from RNAcentral.